UUACUUAACUUUAUUCUCUGUACAUUAUGUUUCAAUAGUAUAAAAUUUACCUUGUGUUUUUGGAUGAGUGUUCUUUUUACCUGAUGAAAAGUUAUGCACGGAAGUUGUUACCUUUUAUCAUAAAUUGUUUUUCUCCCCAUUCAUUUUAAAUAAUUUCAUUUAUAGGAGAUUGUGAGUGCUUAAAGAAAGGAUAAAAGAGUUAUGGGGAUUAAGACGUGAAGUUUGCAGAGGAAAAUAUUCCUUGAUGAUAUGGACUAAGAUUAUUUUAUAUUAUUUUAUUUUUAAUUUUUUGAAGCAAUAAACUAGGAUUUUCUUGAGAGUGUUCUUGAUGGAAGUUCUUUUUUCUUGUUUCUUUUUCUUCAUCUUUCUCUUCUUCUUUCUAUCUUUUUCUUUCUUUCUUUUUUUUUUGUUGUUGAAAGAGGAAAUGCUGAUGUGAGGGGUUUUGUCUUAAAAAUCUUUUAAAGAGAGAUGUACAGGGAUCCUAAUGGUGUUUGGUCUCUUGUUAGGUUUGUUGUUUAUCUUUGGACGUUUGUGGUGAAGGUUUUUUUAUGAAUAUAUGAUGGGUUGUAUUUUACUAGAUUGAAGCCCUUCUUCUUUAGUUUGGAUUCCUUUGGCACGCCCCGUUUUUAGUGGAUUCUUUUGUGUUCUUUUUGUUUCUUCUUGCUGAAAGUUCGAUUUAUUAUAUAAAAAACAAACUUUUAAUGUUUUCACAAGGAUAAGAAAUAAGAUUAGAGCAAAGAAGAGGGAUGGGACUAGGUAAUCUCUCUUUGUUAUUUAUAAUAACAAUUUUUUCACAUUGGAAACUAAUUUGAAGGUAACAUGUAUAAGGGAAAAAAGGAGGGAAAAGGAGAAGUAUCGUUAAUGUAUUUUCUAUUUUUCUCAAAUUCUAAAAGUGAUAUGAGUUCUUUCAGGGAGGGGCUUCUCGCCACUCUUUCCUAGACCGUUCUUUUUUUGAUUAAUACAAAGGUAUAUUUUAUCAGAAAGAGAAAGUUCGUAUCUCUCUCUCAUGUCUUUGAAACUAAUUUAAUUUUUCUUUAUCAUAAAUUUUUUUCUCCCCAGUCUCAGAAUUGGAUUAAUUGUGCAACGGAAUAGUAGUUGUCUUUUGGAAACAAAUGCCUUAAGGAUGUUUUAUUGACAUGUUUACAGCAUUUUUGGAGUUAUGCUAUAUCUAGAUGUUGCUUCAUAAUUAAUCUGUGCCUUCGUUUUGUUCAUAAUAUGAGAUUCCCUAGCAUGCCCUGUUUCUUAUAUAUGGAUGAAUAUUAUUGGGAAUUUGAGUAUCUAGUUGAGUUCGUGGUCCCGUGGAAUGUUGCUUUUUAAGAAGGUAAAUUUUCUCUCCUCUUUCCUCUCUUCUCUCUCCUCCCCCCUCUCUCAUCUCUCCUCCUUCCUCCACCUCCCUUCUCGGCUCAUCCUCUCUUUCCGGUACCUCCACGACGACUGCAAUUUUUCUCCGAUCAGACUUCACUUUGGACUUUUCUGCAUUAGAAACAGAGACAGAUGGAAGUAAAAAGUUGCAGGAUUGACAGCUUGUAUUUUUGCAUUUUGGCAUGAAGAUGGAGUUUUUCAUGUAGAAGAUACUGGGGCAAGUUUAAUCCUACCUAUAUCCAAAUCACAGCUUAUUUGGGUUCAUUGAAGCCAUCUCAGAUUUGGUUCAAGAAAGAAAAAUUAGAAAUUGGCAGGGUGGAAGUUUCCAAGUUCAGAAGUGUGGUUGGGUGCUGAGGUGCAAUGUAUGGCAUUGUAGAGACGGAAGAUCAAAUUAGAAGCCUUUUCAGUCAAGGUAUGGCAAGGCCAAAUCUUUUAAGAAUGCAGCCGGUUUCAUCUUUCUUAAUCACCUUUCUCCUCGAUCUACAGAGACAAAAUGGAGGACUGGUGUUGGUUAAUGAGCAACAACCAUGUUUGAUACCAACUACAAUGCUCCAUACCGACAACCAUUUGAAGUAAUGUGGCCUUUCCUUUGCAUAUUCCAAUUGGUGAAGACAAACUGCGGUGGGGAGAACUUUUGUUAAAUUGCUUGGCGGAUUCAAAGCAAGUUAUGAGUAUAACAUUUGGCAUUCAUCCUGAACUCGAUCUUCAUGUACUUUCAGCAUCACUGAGAAGAAGUCUUGUAUUCCUAUGAAGGGCAGUUAUGUAGACAUGGUGAAGAACAAGGGGACUAACCAGCACUCUGUCUCGGCAUCAGUAAAACAGAGCACAAGAAAAUACUGGGUUAUUAAGAACCCGGAUGUAUGCAAAGUUCAUUUUGAUAAUCUAUGGGUAGUAUAAAAAAUUUUCAGCUGUUGUUUUGGUUGUUUUCUGCCUUGUUUGGAGUUUGUUAACCUCUUGGUCCUCGUUUUUUCGCGUAUGUAGGUUGCGGUUUCUUUGGCCCUUA
Cucumis melo (muskmelon) is the source of this 2365-nucleotide long non-coding RNA. RefSeq lists it as uncharacterized. Lineage: Eukaryota; Viridiplantae; Streptophyta; Magnoliopsida; Cucurbitales; Cucurbitaceae. The transcript is spliced from 2 exons. The record is from RefSeq and is a predicted model, not a curated record.